RNAcentral lists this long non-coding RNA (992 nucleotides) under Sorghum bicolor (sorghum). RNAcentral describes it as "long non-coding RNA (SBIC_LNC005493)". Lineage: Eukaryota; Viridiplantae; Streptophyta; Magnoliopsida; Poales; Poaceae. The record is from RNAcentral.
CUAAAUUAUAAGAUAUUUUUGUUUUUUUAGAUAUAUAACUUUAACUAUAUAUAUAUAUUAUAUCUAAAUGUAUAUAGUAAAAUUUUCGUUAGAAAAGCUAAACUAUUAAUUUGAAACAGAGAAAAUAUAUAUGAUUUUUUUUAUGAAUCUUGACUAUAUGGUCCCAUAUGUAUUAUUGGGCUUUGCUCUUGCUGUGGCUACCGGAUGUGUCAGCGGUCCGGUCAGCCCCACGUGAGACCGGGCCUUCUAUAUGCUAGCUAGCAGUAGCAGAUAGGGAUUGCGACUGCAGUGGCACAAAACUAAUCAAAGUUUCCUACAGUUGAUACAACUUAAUCAUAUGAGUCACGAGGCAGCGACAGAUCGACAGGCAGACGGUACGUUGCAGUGAGAUAGCAAGCCAACAAGGCCGGCCCCGUUUUGAUCCGCGAAAAGUUGAGCUUUGGAAGCAUCUGCAAGAGACCGAUCGGAACAGGCUGUCCACAUGUGAAAGAGGACCGGUCGCAAGUUCUGACCAAUCUCUCUGCUUUGUGAAAAAUCUCUCUUUGUGACUUGUUCUUUGUGUGGCUAGCUAUACUUUUGGGCAUUAUUGGGUACGUGGUUCCAUCCAUCGGUGACCUUCUCGGCUCCGGCUAUAUAUUUGAUUAGACCGUUUGCGUGAGCAACGCCAAUAGCUAAGAUAUACUAUGUGCCACAAAGUCGUUGAUGCAUAUCUUGUUUAGAGACCAUGAAUCAUGACGAAGGUGGUGCUCACAUGUUAAUUAGGCCAUGUUUAAAUUGGAGACGAAAAAUUUUUUUAGUGUCACAUUGAAUGUGUCGGAAGGAUGUCAGGAGAGGUUUUUAGAAACUAAUAAAAAAAUAAAUUACAUAGCUCGUUUGGAAACUGCAAGACAAAUCUAUUAAGCAUAAUUAAUCUGUUAUUAGCACAUGUGGGUUACUGUAGCACUUAAGGCUAAUGUAGCACCCGGUUUUAAGAACAAAACCAGAUACACACC